AGUGAACGCUGGCGGCAGGCCUAACGCAUGCAAGUCGAACGGCAGCACAGUGGAGCUUGCUCCAUGGGUGGCGAGUGGCGGACGGGGUGAGGAAUACAUCGGAAUCUGCCCAGUCGUGGGGGAUAACAUAGGGAAACUUAUGCUAAUACCGCAUACGACCUACGGGUGAAAGCGGGGGAUCGCAAGACCUCGCGCGAUUGGAUGAGCCGAUGUCCGAUUAGCUAGUUGCGGGGUAAUGGCCCACCAAGGCGACGAUCGGUAGCUGGUCUGAGAGGAUGAUCAGCCACACUGGAACUGAGACACGGUCCAGACUCCUACGGGAGGCAGCAGUGGGGAAUAUUGGGACAAUGGGCGCAAGCCUGAUCCAGCCAUGCCGCGUGGGUGAAGAAGGCUCGGUGUAAGCCUUUGUCU
This 411-nucleotide ribosomal RNA is filed under the name uncultured bacterium. RNAcentral's name for it is "bacterial SSU rRNA". It matches the Rfam family "Bacterial small subunit ribosomal RNA", at positions 29 to 440 of the family's 1533-position model. The record is from RNAcentral.